This 502-nucleotide ribosomal RNA is filed under the name Cladosporium sp. TA26-5. RNAcentral's name for it is "eukaryotic LSU rRNA". The stretch from base 137 to 290 matches the Rfam family "5.8S ribosomal RNA". RNAcentral also lists the same sequence under 1 other name. Lineage: Eukaryota; Fungi; Ascomycota; Dothideomycetes; Cladosporiales; Cladosporiaceae. The record is from RNAcentral.
ACCGGGAUGUUCAUAACCCUUUGUUGUCCGACUCUGUUGCCUCCGGGGCGACCCUGCCUUCGGGCGGGGGCUCCGGGUGGACACUUCAAACUCUUGCGUAACUUUGCAGUCUGAGUAAACUUAAUUAAUAAAUUAAAACUUUUAACAACGGAUCUCUUGGUUCUGGCAUCGAUGAAGAACGCAGCGAAAUGCGAUAAGUAAUGUGAAUUGCAGAAUUCAGUGAAUCAUCGAAUCUUUGAACGCACAUUGCGCCCCCUGGUAUUCCGGGGGGCAUGCCUGUUCGAGCGUCAUUUCACCACUCAAGCCUCGCUUGGUAUUGGGCAACGCGGUCCGCCGCGUGCCUCAAAUCGACCGGCUGGGUCUUCUGUCCCCUAAGCGUUGUGGAAACUAUUCGCUAAAGGGUGCUCGGGAGGCUACGCCGUAAAACAACCCCAUUUCUAAGGUUGACCUCGGAUCAGGUAGGGAUACCCGCUGAACUUAAGCAUAUCAAUAAGCGGAGGAA